This 278-nucleotide ribosomal RNA is filed under the name uncultured bacterium. Its description in RNAcentral is "partial 16S ribosomal RNA". It matches the Rfam family "Bacterial small subunit ribosomal RNA", at positions 506 to 784 of the family's 1533-position model. The record is from RNAcentral.
UGCCAGCCGCCGCGGUAAUACGUAGGGUCCUAGCGUUGUUCGGAAUUACUGGGCGUAAAGCGAGUGUAGGCGGCUAGGAAAGUCAGAUGUGAAAGCCCGGGGCUCAACCUCGGAACUGCAUUUGAAACUUCUUAGCUUGAAUAUGAGAGGGGUAGUAGAAUUCCUGGUGUAGUGGUGAAAUACGUAGAUAUCAGGAGGAAUACCAGUGGCGAAGGCGACUGACUGGCUCAAUAUUGACGCUGAGACUCGAAAGCGUGGGGAGCAAACAGGAUUAGAUA